AAUCAACGCUGGCGGCGUGCCUCAGACAUGCAAGUCGAACGCGAAAUUCCCUUUCGGGGGAGAGUAGAGUGGCGCACGGGUGAGUAACACGUAGGUAAUCUACCUCUGGGUGGGGAAGUAACAGCCGGAACGGCUGCUAAUACCGCAUAAUGCAGCGGCAUCAAAUAGAUGACAGUUGUUAAAGCGGGGGAGUCCUGAAAGGGACCUCGCGCCUGAAGAGGAGCCUGCGGCAGAUUAGCUAGUUGGUAAGGUAAAGGCUUACCAAGGCGACGAUCUGUAGCCGGCCUGAGAGGGCGGUCGGCCACACUGACACUGACAUACGGGUCAGACUCCUACGGG
Molecule: ribosomal RNA, 339 nt
Filed under: uncultured bacterium
Lineage: Bacteria
Description: bacterial SSU rRNA
Rfam family: Bacterial small subunit ribosomal RNA
Source: RNAcentral